This 1432-nucleotide ribosomal RNA is filed under the name Halomonas sp. X35. RNAcentral's name for it is "bacterial SSU rRNA". It matches the Rfam family "Bacterial small subunit ribosomal RNA". Lineage: Bacteria; Pseudomonadati; Pseudomonadota; Gammaproteobacteria; Oceanospirillales; Halomonadaceae. The record is from RNAcentral.
GCUGGGGAGCUACCAUGCAGUCGAGCGGAACGAUGGAAGCUUGCUUCCAGGCGUCGAGCGGCGGACGGGUGAGUAAUGCAUAGGAAUCUGCCCGAUAGUGGGGGAUAACCUGGGGAAACCCAGGCUAAUACCGCAUACGUCCUACGGGAGAAAGCAGGGGAUCUUCGGACCUUGCGCUAUCGGAUGAGCCUAUGUCGGAUUAGCUAGUUGGUGAGGUAACGGCUCACCAAGGCCGCGAUCCGUAGCUGGUCUGAGAGGAUGAUCAGCCACAUCGGGACUGAGACACGGCCCGAACUCCUACGGGAGGCAGCAGUGGGGAAUAUUGGACAAUGGGCGAAAGCCUGAUCCAGCCAUGCCGCGUGUGUGAAGAAGGCUUUCGGGUUGUAAAGCACUUUCAGUGGGGAAGAAAUCCUCGGGGCCAAUACCCUCGAGGGAGGACAUCACCCACAGAAGAAGCACCGGCUAACUCCGUGCCAGCAGCCGCGGUAAUACGGAGGGUGCGAGCGUUAAUCGGAAUUACUGGGCGUAAAGCGCGCGUAGGCGGCGUGAUAAGCCGGUUGUGAAAGCCCCGGGCUCAACCUGGGAACGGCAUCCGGAACUGUCAGGCUAGAGUGCAGGAGAGGAAGGUAGAAUUCCCGGUGUAGCGGUGAAAUGCGUAGAGAUCGGGAGGAAUACCAGUGGCGAAGGCGGCCUUCUGGACUGACACUGACGCUGAGGUGCGAAAGCGUGGGUAGCAAACAGGAUUAGAUACCCUGGUAGUCCACGCCGUAAACGAUGUCGACUAGCCGUUGGGGUCCUUGUGACCUUUGUGGCGCAGUUAACGCGAUAAGUCGACCGCCUGGGGAGUACGGCCGCAAGGUUAAAACUCAAAUGAAUUGACGGGGGCCCGCACAAGCGGUGGAGCAUGUGGUUUAAUUCGAUGCAACGCGAAGAACCUUACCUACUCUUGACAUCGUGCGAACUUUCCAGAGAUGGAUUGGUGCCUUCGGGAACGCACAGACAGGUGCUGCAUGGCCGUCGUCAGCUCGUGUUGUGAAAUGUUGGGUUAAGUCCCGUAACGAGCGCAACCCUUGUCCCUAUUUGCCAGCGAUUCGGUCGGGAACUCUAGGGAGACUGCCGGUGACAAACCGGAGGAAGGUGGGGACGACGUCAGGUCAUCAUGGCCCUUACGAGUAGGGCUACACACGUGCUACAAUGGCCGGUACAAAGGGUUGCGAAGCCGCGAGGUGGAGCUAAUCCCGAAAAGCCGGUCUCAGUCCGGAUCGGAGUCUGCAACUCGACUCCGUGAAGUCGGAAUCGCUAGUAAUCGUGAAUCAGAAUGUCACGGUGAAUACGUUCCCGGGCCUUGUACACACCGCCCGUCACACCAUGGGAGUGGACUGCACCAGAAGUGGUUAGCCUAACUUCGGAGGGCGAUCACCACGUUGGACGC